UACGUAGGGGGCAAGCGUUGUCCGGAUUUAUUGGGCGUAAAGAGCGUGUAGGCGGUUUGGUAGGUCCGCUGUGAAAAACUCGAGGCUCAACCUCGAGACGCCGGUGGAAACCAUCAGGCUAGAGUCCGGAAGAGGAGAGUGGAAUUCCUGGUGUAGCGGUGAAAUGCGCAGAUAUCAGGAAGAACACCCGUGGCUAAGGCGGCUCUCUAGUACGGUACU
RNAcentral lists this ribosomal RNA (219 nucleotides) under uncultured bacterium. Its description in RNAcentral is "partial 16S ribosomal RNA". It matches the Rfam family "Bacterial small subunit ribosomal RNA", at positions 524 to 741 of the family's 1533-position model. The record is from RNAcentral.